GAUGAACGCUGGCGGCGUGCCUAAUACAUGCAAGUCGAGCGAACAGAUAAGGAGCUUGCUCCUUUGACGUUAGCGGCGGACGGGUGAGUUACACGUGGAUAACCUACCUAUAAGACUGGGAUAACUUCGGGAAACCGGAGCUAAUACCGGAUAACAUAUUGAACCGCAUGGUUCAAUAGUGAAAGGCGGCUUUGCUGUCACUUAUAGAUGGAUCCGCGCCGUAUUAGCUAGUUGGUAAGGUAACGGCUUACCAAGGCAACGAUACGUAGCCGACCUGAGAGGGUGAGCGGCCACACUGGAACUGAGACACGGUCCAGACUCCUACGGGAGGCAGCAGUAGGGAAUCUUCCGCAAUGGGCGAAAGCCUGACGGAGCAACGCCGCGUGAGUGAUGAAGGUCUUCGGAUCGUAAAACUCUGUUAUCAGGGAAGAACAAAUGUGUAAGUAACUGUGCACAUCUUGACGGUACCUGAUCAGAAAGCCACGGCUAACUACGUG
This 497-nucleotide ribosomal RNA is filed under the name uncultured bacterium. RNAcentral describes it as "partial 16S ribosomal RNA". It matches the Rfam family "Bacterial small subunit ribosomal RNA", at positions 28 to 507 of the family's 1533-position model. The record is from RNAcentral.